Non-coding RNA from Lonchura striata (white-rumped munia), 417 nucleotides. NCBI's taxonomy places the organism in Eukaryota, Metazoa, Chordata, Aves, Passeriformes, Estrildidae. The record is from the annotation of a RefSeq genome assembly.
AUGCGGCGGUGUCGGGGCGCGGGGCUGGCGGCGCUGCCCGCGCUGCUGCUGCUCGUGGCUGUGGCCAGAGCCCAGAUAGAGCAAGAGCCGUCACUGGAGACGAUCGAGGGAAUCGGAAUCAACAUCAACUGCUCACAUCCCAAAAUCCAGACCAACGAAUACAUCUACUGGUACCGACAGCUCCCGGACAAAGGAUCCGAAUUCCUUGUGUUCACAGUGAAAGACUCCAAAAAGCUGCCGGACAAUCUGGGCCAGCUGUGGGUGUCGGCAGACCGGCGCUGGAGCGCGCUGCGGCUCGGCUGGCCCCGGCGCGGGGACGCGGCCGUGUAUUACUGCGCGCUGGGCCACGGGCAGAGGAGCCGGGGCUGCGGCCGGGCACGAACCGGCGCGGGCGGGGCCGGGCGGGGCCAGCAGGGG